This 307-nucleotide unclassified non-coding RNA is filed under the name Hevea brasiliensis (rubber tree). The record is from RNAcentral. Lineage: Eukaryota; Viridiplantae; Streptophyta; Magnoliopsida; Malpighiales; Euphorbiaceae.
CGGUGAAGCUGCCAGAACGAAUAAGCGGGCGAGAACUGAUGUGGAGGGCGUUAACUUCCUCCAAGUUCCACGUAUGGCGAUAAUGAGAUAUGGCAGUGGAGGAGCAAAAAUUUGCGCCGGCGGGAAAUCGAACGGCAGUGGCUGUAUCGAUCAUCAUCAUUUUUUCUUCUCUAUAUCUCUCUCCAAAUUAUUAAAGAAGUGCGAGAUCUAUUAUCUGUGAAGCAAGUGAAGCGCUUUGCUUCGUUGAAGGAUUCGACUGGAUGAGGUCUGGGAUGCGAUUCUAUGCGACCAUACAGAUUUAGUUUUC